This 38-nucleotide ribosomal RNA is filed under the name Phyllosticta capitalensis. RNAcentral describes it as "partial 28S ribosomal RNA". The record is from RNAcentral. Lineage: Eukaryota; Fungi; Ascomycota; Dothideomycetes; Botryosphaeriales; Phyllostictaceae.
UUGACCUCGGAUCAGGUAGGGAUACCCGCUGAACUUAG